This 707-nucleotide ribosomal RNA is filed under the name uncultured Planctomycetota bacterium. RNAcentral describes it as "bacterial SSU rRNA". It matches the Rfam family "Bacterial small subunit ribosomal RNA", at positions 129 to 865 of the family's 1533-position model. The record is from RNAcentral. Lineage: Bacteria; Pseudomonadati; Planctomycetota.
CCCAGGGGUCGGGCAUAGCCUGUAGAGAUACAGGGUAAUUCCCGAUGAUGUCGAGAGACCAAAGGUCCGCCGCCCUUGGAGGAGCCCAUAUGAUAUUAGCUUGUUGGUGAGGUAGCGGCUCACCAAGGCGAAGAUGUCUAGCGGGUGUGAGAGCACGACCCGCGCCACUGGCACUGAGACACUGGCCAGACACCUACGGGUGGCUGCAGUCGAGGAUCUUCGGCAAUGGGCGCAAGCCUGACCGAGCGAGACCGCGUGUGCGAUGAAGGCCUUCGGGUUGUAAAGCACUGUCGAGGGGGAGAAAGGGAAACCUGAUCUAUCCCUGGAGGAAGCACGGGCUAAGUUCGUGCCAGCAGCCGCGGUAAGACGAACCGUGCGAACGUUGUUCGGAAUCACUGGGCUUAAAGGGCGCGUAGGCGGGCCACCAAGUCCGGGGUGAAAUCCUCCAGCUUAACUGGAGAACUGCCUCGGAUACUGGAGGUCUUGAGGGAGAUAGGGGCAUGCGGAACCGUGGGUGGAGCGGUGAAAUGCGUUGAUAUCCAUGGGAACUCCGGUGGCGAAGGCGGCAUGCUGGAUCUUUUCUGACGCUGAGGCGCGAAAGCCAGGGGAGCAAACGGGAUUAGAUACCCCGGUAGUCCUGGCCCUAAACGAUGAGAACUAGGUAGUAGACUAAACAUGGGUUUACUGCCGAAGCCAAAGUGCUAAGU